UGGGGAAUAUUGCACAAUGGGGGAAACCCUGAUGCAGCGACGCCGCGUGAGCGAAGAAGGCCUUCGGGUCGUAAAGCUCUUUUAUGAGGGAAGAUAACGACGGUACCUCAAGAAAAAGCCCCGGCUAACUACGUGCCAGCAGCCGCGGUAAUACGUAGGGGGCUAGCGUUGUCCGGAAUCACUGGGCGUAAAGGGUUCGCAGGCGGAAUAACAAGUCAGAUGUGAAAGGCAUGGGCUAAACCCAUGUAAGCAUUUGAAACUGUAAUUCUUGAGAAGGGGAGAGGUAAGUGGAAUUCCUAGUGUAGCGGUGAAAUGCGUAGAUAUUAGGAGGAAUACCUGUGGCGAAGGCGACUUACUGGACACAAAUCUGACGCUGAGGAACGAAAGCGUGGGUAGCAAACAGG
Molecule: ribosomal RNA, 404 nt
Filed under: Bacteroidota bacterium
Lineage: Bacteria; Pseudomonadati; Bacteroidota
Description: Bacteroidetes bacterium partial 16S ribosomal RNA
Rfam family: Bacterial small subunit ribosomal RNA
Source: RNAcentral